This 1371-nucleotide ribosomal RNA is filed under the name uncultured bacterium. Its description in RNAcentral is "bacterial SSU rRNA". It matches the Rfam family "Bacterial small subunit ribosomal RNA", at positions 28 to 1381 of the family's 1533-position model. The record is from RNAcentral.
GAUAAACGCUGGCGGCGUGCCUAAUACAUGCAAGUCGAGCGAACGGACGAGAAGCUUGCUUCUCUGAUGUUAGCGGUGGACGGGUGAGUAACACGUGGAUAACCUACCUAUAAGACUGGGAUAACUUCGGGAAACCGGAGCUAAUACCGGAUAAUAUUUUGAACCGCAUGGUUCAAAAGUGAAAGACGGUCUUGCUGUCACUUAUAGAUGGAUCCGCGCUGCAUUAGCUAGUUGGUAAGGUAACGGCUUACCAAGGCAACGAUGCAUAGCCGACCUGAGAGGGUGAUCGGCCACACUGGAACUGAGACACGGUCCAGACUCCUACGGGAGGCAGCAGUAGGGAAUCUUCCGCAAUGGGCGAAAGCCUGACGGAGCAACGCCGCGUGAGUGAUGAAGGUCUUCGGAUCGUAAAACUCUGUUAUUAGGGAAGAACAUAUGUGUAAGUAACUGUGCACAUCUUGACGGUACCUAAUCAGAAAGCCACGGCUAACUACGUGCCAGCAGCCGCGGUAAUACGUAAGUGGCAAGCGUUAUCCGGAAUUAUUGGGCGUAAAGCGCGCGUAGGCGGUUUUUUAGUCUGAUGUGAAAGCCCACGGCUCAACCGUGGAGGGUCAUUGGAAACUGGAAAACUUGAGUGCAGAAGAGGAAAGUGGAAUUCCAUGUGUAGCGGUGAAAUGCGCAGAGAUAUGGAGGAACACCAGUGGCGAAGGCGACUUUCUGGUCUGUAACUGACGCUGAUGUGCGAAAGCGUGGGGAUCAAACAGGAUUAGAUACCCUGGUAGUCCACGCCGUAAACGAUGAGUGCUAAGUGUUAGGGGGUUUCCGCCCCUUAGUGCUGCAGCUAACGCAUUAAGCACUCCGCCUGGGGAGUACGACCGCAAGGUUGAAACUCAAAGGAAUUGACGGGGACCCGCACAAGCGGUGGAGCAUGUGGUUUAAUUCGAAGCAACGCGAAGAACCUUACCAAAUCUUGACAUCCUUUGACAACUCUAGAGAUAGAGCCUUCCCCUUCGGGGGACAAAGUGACAGGUGGUGCAUGGUUGUCGUCAGCUCGUGUCGUGAGAUGUUGGGUUAAGUCCCGCAACGAGCGCAACCCUUAAGCUUAGUUGCCAUCAUUAAGUUGGGCACUCUAAGUUGACUGCCGGUGACAAACCGGAGGAAGGUGGGGAUGACGUCAAAUCAUCAUGCCCCUUAUGAUUUGGGCUACACACGUGCUACAAUGGACAAUACAAAGGGCAGCGAAACCGCGAGGUCAAGCAAAUCCCAUAAAGUUGUUCUCAGUUCGGAUUGUAGUCUGCAACUCGACUACAUGAAGCUGGAAUCGCUAGUAAUCGUAGAUCAGCAUGCUACGGUGAAUACGUUCCCGGGUCU